UGUGUGUUAUUCCUCAGCUCAAGGCUGGUUUAAAUAGGAAGAGUACAAACAUAAAAGGAAAUAAUAGAUAAGCUUAGAAUCUCCUAGAAAUAACAAACUAGGAAACUAAAUAUUUUCCAACACCCCCCUCAAGUUGGUGCAUAGAUAUCUGUCAUGCCCAACUUGCCGAUCAAAUGCUCAAAGGUGGGUCUUGCCAAAGUUUUGGUUAAGAUAUCUGCAGUUUG
Molecule: long non-coding RNA, 224 nt
Filed under: Trifolium pratense (red clover)
Lineage: Eukaryota; Viridiplantae; Streptophyta; Magnoliopsida; Fabales; Fabaceae
Description: long non-coding RNA (TPRA_LNC007810)
Source: RNAcentral